UAGGGUGCAAGCGUUAAUCGGAAUUACUGGGCGUAAAGCGUGCGCAGGCGGUUGUGGAAGACCGAUGUGAAAUCCCCGGGCUUAACCUGGGAAUGGCAUUGGUGACUGCACGGCUAGAGUGUGUCAGAGGGGGGUAGAAUUCCACGUGUAGCAGUGAAAUGCGUAGAGAUGUGGAGGAAUACCGAUGGCGAAGGCAGCCCCCUGGGAUAACACUGACGCUCAUGCACGAAAGCGUGGGGAGCAAACAGG
RNAcentral lists this ribosomal RNA (249 nucleotides) under uncultured bacterium. Its description in RNAcentral is "partial 16S ribosomal RNA". It matches the Rfam family "Bacterial small subunit ribosomal RNA", at positions 528 to 776 of the family's 1533-position model. The record is from RNAcentral.